This 4147-nucleotide long non-coding RNA is filed under the name Citrus maxima (pomelo). Lineage: Eukaryota; Viridiplantae; Streptophyta; Magnoliopsida; Sapindales; Rutaceae. The record is from RNAcentral.
AUACAUCAAGCCACCAACUAACAUAGACAUUAGAAAAUGUGAUUGCUAGUUUCUAGUUUUGAAGACCAGAAACAAGAGUUUGUUGAUAUGGAUGGUCCAAAAUUAUUCUCUAACAAAACCCAGAUGGUGCUGCGCUGCACCAUAAAGUAAUCUCGUGGUUGGUCCCACAAGUGCAUACAAUAAUAACACAGAUGAAAAUUAACUGCCACGUGUUUGGUAUCCCGCAUCGUCUCUUUCGCUGCAGCUGCACUCUUUGUAUCAACUUUCGGAGACGUACGAUGGAGAGAUAGGCGCAAAGGUAUAUAUAAUUCCUGUUAUUUUACUUGUUUUGUUGAUUUAGUGACCUUAUUGUCCAAAUAUUUAAUCAAAUCUGUGAUUUCUGUGAUUCAAACAAAUGGGUUUCCUCUGUCUUAUGUGUUCAAUUAUCAGCUGUAAUUUUUUUUUUUUAGUUAAUUGAGGUUCUGAUGCUACUGUUAACUUGCUGUAAAUCAAUGUAAUAGGAAAAUGUUGGUGAAAGAUGUGUUCAGUUUACAGAUUCUGUUCCUAACUCUUUAACUACAGAACUCUGUGCUGCUCUUUGAACUUAUGUGGUGCAGUUUUGCUAUGCUUAUACCAGUAUUUUUAAUACUGACAUUUUAGUGGAUAAAUUAUUAUAAAUAUCAUCUGUAUUGUUUUUUAGAUUUAUUUAAUGUAAAUUUUAUUGAGGGCUUUGAUAGAAAUUUGUAACUUGAAAGCAAAAAAAAAUCUCUUCGAAUUCUUUUGGAACAAAUGUUUGGGCCAAUUGUUUAAGAAAUGCAGAAUUUUGAUUAUUAGAUAUUCCUGCAUUGUUGUCUGGUAUUUGACAUGUAGGCAACUCCCUGUUCAACAUUUUUAGUAACUCAAUUUAUCCUAGUGGGCUUGGCAAUUCUGUAUGUUAUCUUCUACUGAGAAAUUGAUAAACCUAAUUUCCAUUGCUUGAUCUGAGUGCACUUGCUUAUGCAUCUUCAGUGGGAAACAUGCUCUUGUUCAUAAUACAGGCAAGUGAUAUUAUUGUUCUAUAACUUCCUUGGGAACAACUGAUGUUUAUUUGCUUCUAGUUGAUCAUCAAAGAUAUUGCUGUUUUAUGUGCAUCAUCCAAGUAAUUGCAGCUUUUAGUUUACUCUUUUUACAUUUGAGGAUUUGGCUGUUUGUGAAAAGUCAUCAAAGCCAUUUGUUUAUUAUUUACUUCUUGGGGAUAUAUGCAAAUAUUUUCUGGAAUUAAAACUUGGAGCAGCUAACUCCUUAUAAUGGUGAGAUUAUAUUAUAGCAUACUUUGGGAUGGUUUCAAAUCCUGUUUAAUAGCAGCACUGCUGCUGCACUAAUAAAAGAUUUUUUUUGUUGUCAUGAAAAGGGUCCCACAACCACAAAAGCAUUUGGACCAUUAAAAAGAUGCAGGAAGCUUAGAUUAGAAGAGGGAACCAAAAUCCCACAUCACUUAUUCGUGAGAAAAUCACUCUUUAAAAGAUGCAGGAAGCUUAGGUCGUCUCUUCGGAGAUACCCAAUAAAAUUGGAACAACACAUAGAAGAUUAGCAUGGCCCCUACUCAAGGAUGAUGCACAAAUCGAGAAAUGGUCCAUCUCUUUUUUUUUUUUUUUUUUUUUUUCUAAUCCUUUCCUUCAAUCAAAAUUUGAUUUCUCUUUUUAUCCAUUUUGUAUUGUAUUCUCAUGCUGUUAUUUUCUAGAAGUGCUGACCUUUAUGUUGUUCACUGGUUAAUGCUGUAAGGUUUUAUAUUUCAGAGACAAAAUACUUGGUUUUGGGCAUUGAUAAUACAGUAACUUAAGAAAUUGCUGUGAAUAUCGUAUCCCCAGAACGGAUUAAUAAUCUUUGUUUAAGUGAAUUACAUUUUUGGUCUGUACUGUGUUGUAUAUUGAGGUCGGUGAGGUUUACAAGAAUUAGUUUUCGUUGGUUUCAGUAUUUGAACCACGAAGCGUAAUCUCGGCUAGGAAGCCUAAUAAUGUGAUAAACAAUUGCUCCAGAAAGCAGUUUAUCACCCUAUCUUAAUUGCUAUAUUUAAGUUAACAACCGACUCUGGUAUGCUUGGCAGUUAUGUAUAAUAUCAUCUGCAGGGAAAUUGACAACCUUGACUUUGAUUGCUCCAUCUGAUAUGAGGUGGCUUGAAGCUUGAUUACACAACCUCAGAGGCAAUCAUGUACUUUUUCAUAUUUUAAUUGUCGUCAUCUGUUCAAAAGAAUAUAGACAAGUGAUGUUGUACUACUCCCAUGGGAACAACAGAUCUUCUCCAUCAUUUGUUCGAAAGAAUACAGGCAAGUGAUAUUGUAUUAUUACUCCCAUGGGAACAACAGAUCUUUCUCCUAUUAAUUAGUAUGAAUAUUCUUGCUUUAUGUGCAUCUUUCCUUAUUUCAGUACAUUUGGUAUGUUGUUCAUUGUCUCUCAGCCAGCCAAUACUGUUGGGAAGGGGAGACAAUUCAAGAUAUUUAAUCAUUUUACAUUUGAGGUUUCUUAGCUUUUGUGAACUCAAUGGGCGGUGAUCAGCCAUAUUGAUGGUAUUUACCUCUUGGAGAAAUAUAAGAAACAUUUUAUGGGAUUAAAACUUGGUGUGGCUGAUAUACUUAUAACUGUGAGAUUAUGUUAAAGCAUGAUUGGGAUGGUCCCAACUAUUUUAAUAGCUGCAUUGCCCAAUAAUUAAUCUUUUUGUUGCACAUGAAAAAGGGUCCCACAACCAGAAAAGCAUUUAGAGUGAUAGGAGAUGGAACCUAAGCCCACAUCGCUUGUUUAUCCUAAAGUUUGAGUCUUUAAAUAAAACAUGCAGGGCGAGUGGGCUGUCUUUUCGGAGACAUCCGAUAAAAUUGGAACGAUACAGAGAAGAUUAGCAUGGCCCCUGCGCAAGGAUGACACGCACAAAUCGAGAAAUGGUCCAAAUUUUUUUUUUUCCUUCUUUACCUUCCUAGUCCAAUUCCACUCCGUGCUUUUUUUUUUUUUUACCUCCUUCCUAACAUUCAUCGUCCAAAUAUCUUUUUCUUCCUUGACCUCUUACUAUUUGAAGAACUCCUUUACCUUCAUACUCCAAUUCCUUUUUUCAUCCUUGUCUUAUUAUUUCAAGCACUCCUAAACAAACACAACCUCCCCCCCCCCCGGGUGUUACCUUAGUCGUCCAAAUUUUUUUUUCCUUCCUUGCCUUAUUAUUAUUUAAAGCACUCAAUUAAUGUUUGCUAUUUCUGUAAGUUAUGAGGUUUAUUUUGUUGUAUGGUUUAUGGUAUGCUAAUAAUUGUUUCAGAGCCAAAAUGAUUUUGGGCGUUAAUAAUACAUAAAAUGAAAAAUCGCAUUUACUUUUACUGUGAAUAUGGUGUCAGUCUGUUAUAUAACUCUGUCCAAGCAGGAUUAUAAGAUGGACAUGGACUAUUGGUUGGAGAGACCAGAGAGCUUAAUGUUGCAGUAUACUGUUGCUGCAGAAAGCAGUUGAUCACCCUAUCUUAAGUUCAACAUUCCAGUUAAGAUGGAAUAGAACAUGAUUACAUUAGAGGCAAUUAGAUCAUAAUGGUUCAUCGUUGAUUAAUAUCGUAUAAUCAAAAUAUUAUCAACCUGACAUGCAUCCUAGGUAAAGUAGAAGCGUGUGAUCUUUUCAAGCUGGUUACUAAAUUAAAAUUGCCGCUGCUUCUUAUUUAUGUGAAAUCUUUCUUGAGCUUUUCCAUCGCAAUCACUUUUAUUUGUGUAAUUUUCUAGUUGUUGCAGGAGGUUAGAGCUCUGAUCAUCCAUAUCUAGCCAGUGGAUCACUUGCAAACGAAGAUGCGUCAAGAUAUGAUUAAGAACUUGGGGACAUAACAAUCUUCACAAACCUGAAGUUGGCAAAGAUAUGCUGUUAUUUCAGCAAUUAAGGUGGGUUUUAUGGGACUCUCAGUCUGUAUUUAUACGCCUAUGCUUGAGAUUAACCAAACGUAGUUUACAUAAAAGACAUGAAUGCAUUAUCCUUUUGUAAUUUGGAACUACAUGAGCUAUUCAUCAUCUUUUGGAAGGCUGCUUAAAUUAUAAAAAGGAAAUCCAAUUGAUGAAUAUGUGUACUGUUGGAUUAAUAUUUUCUUCCUCAAAACAUUUUAUCCUCUUAGAAAUUAAGAUGUAGCAAGCAUGCCGCUGCACAGACAGAAAUCUAAAGAAUUACAUAAUGAUAUUCCUC